UUGUCUUGGAAUUUCAUGAGGCAGAGAAACAAAACUUUGACAGUUAUCAUGUGAUUUUUCCCCUGAAAUAUGCCACCACAUAUUAAAAUUGAGGAAUCAUAUUUAUCCUAUCUGCUGUAGAGGUGAGCUUCUCUGACCAUAGCUCUGAAAAUCACCAUUACUAUCCUUUGUGAAGAACCCUGAGAGCCAGUCAUAAAAGAUAUAAAUGAUACUGCAUGGCCUGAGAGCCCGAUGCUUUGCAGACUCCUGGCAUUGUGUAUAAGAAAAGUGUUCCAAUAAUAAAAUCAUGGCAAUAUUACUCCUUUCUCACAACAAUAUUUUUA
RNAcentral lists this long non-coding RNA (323 nucleotides) under Homo sapiens (human). RNAcentral describes it as "HSALNT0019097". Lineage: Eukaryota; Metazoa; Chordata; Mammalia; Primates; Hominidae. The record is from RNAcentral.